CCAUAAAUAAAAGCCAAGGGCAAUCUUUAUCGAAUGUUGGUCUCUUUCUUCCUAAACCAGUUUUUACACAUGGCCAACUAUAUGUGGCUGUGUCUAGAGUAAAAACAAAGAAGGGUUUGAAGAUUUUAAGCUUAGAUGAAGAAGGAAAGAUGUCUAAAUCGACCAAAAAUGUUGUGUACAAUGAGGUUUUUGAUACUCUAUAAUUGAUUAAUCAGAAUAGAAUGGUCAGAGACCCGGUAUAGGAGUUCCUAUCAGAUGCAAAAAGCACCAUGGAAAAGGAAGCUAACGAAGGCCACAAUUUCCUAGCUAAUACAAAGCCUGUUACACACAAGGACCUCUCAUCAUUUUGAAGGAAUGUAAUAAGCAUUAAAUUCAUCAAGUUGGACAUGGUUGCUCACGGCUUGGAAUUGGGAUAUGUUUAUAUGCUGGCAACAUUCUUCAAAAAGAUGUGAUAUAAUUGUUGAUUUUUUUGCAAAUGUGAUUUGAAUGGUGGCUGAUGAAAGAGAUAGCUAUUUAAUUUUUGGAAUAUAAUUGACAUGAUAAAACUUAUGUUUAGAUGUAAGCACUCUUAGAUAU
Molecule: long non-coding RNA, 576 nt
Organism: Lotus japonicus
Lineage: Eukaryota; Viridiplantae; Streptophyta; Magnoliopsida; Fabales; Fabaceae
Exons: 3
Source: RefSeq, a predicted model, not a curated record